This 244-nucleotide ribosomal RNA is filed under the name uncultured bacterium. RNAcentral describes it as "partial 16S ribosomal RNA". It matches the Rfam family "Bacterial small subunit ribosomal RNA", at positions 796 to 1041 of the family's 1533-position model. The record is from RNAcentral.
CAUGCUGUAAACGAUGAUUACUAGGUGUGGGGAGAUUGACCCUCUCCGUGCCGCAGUUAACACAAUAAGUAAUCCACCUGGGGAGUACGACCGCAAGGUUGAAACUCAAAGGAAUUGACGGGGGCCCGCACAAGCAGUGGAGUAUGUGGUUUAAUUCGAAGCAACGCGAAAAACCUUACCAGGUCUUGACAUCCAACGACCGCCUAAGAGAUUAGGCUUUCCUUCGGGACGUUGAGACAGGUGG